AGAGUUUGAUCCUGGCUCAGGAUGAACGCUAGCGGCAGGCCUAACACAUGCAAGUCGAGGGGCAGCGGGGAUAAGCUUGCUUAUCCGCCGGCGACCGGCGCACGGGUGCGCAACGCGUAUAGAAUCUGCCUCGUACUGGGGAAUAGCCCAGAGAAAUUUGGAUUAAGGCCCCAUGGUAUGUAAGGGUGGCAUCACCUUUACAUUAAAGGCUACGGUACGAGAUGACUAUGCGUCCCAUUAGUUAGUUGGUAAGGUAACGGCUUACCAAGGCAGCGAUGGGUAGGGGCCCUGAGAGGGGGAUCCCCCACACUGGUACUGAGACACGGACCAGACUCCUACGGGAGGCAGCAGUGAGGAAUAUUGGACAAUGGGCGGGAGCCUGAUCCAGCCAUGCCGCGUGCAGGAAGACUGCCCUAUGGGUUGUAAACUGCUUUUUUACGGGAAGAAACACCCCCACGUGUGGGGGCUUGACGGUACCGUACGAAUAAGGAUCGGCUAACUCCGUGCCAGCAGCCGCGGUAAUACGGAGGAUCCAAGCGUUAUCCGGAAUCAUUGGGUUUAAAGGGUCCGUAGGCGGACGUCUAAGUCAGUGGUGAAAUUCUGCAGCUCAACUGUAGAACUGCCAUUGAUACUGGUCGUCUUGAAUCGUUGUGAAGUGGCUAGAAUAUGUAGUGUAGCGGUGAAAUGCUUAGAUAUUACAUAGAAUACCGAUUGCGAAGGCAGGUCACUAACAACGCAUUGACGCUGAUGGACGAAAGCGUGGGGAGCGAACAGGAUUAGAUACCCUGGUAGUCCACGCCGUAAACGAUGGAUACUAGCUGUCCGGCGCACAUUGGUGUGCUGGGUGGCCAAGCGAAAGUGAUAAGUAUCCCACCUGGGGAGUACGUUCGCAAGAAUGAAACUCAAAGGAAUUGACGGGGGCCCGCACAAGCGGUGGAGCAUGUGGUUUAAUUCGAUGAUACGCGAGGAACCUUA
RNAcentral lists this ribosomal RNA (975 nucleotides) under metagenome. RNAcentral describes it as "bacterial SSU rRNA". It matches the Rfam family "Bacterial small subunit ribosomal RNA", at positions 8 to 973 of the family's 1533-position model. The record is from RNAcentral.